GCCGGCAGCUAGCUCUCUGCAACUCUCACAUGGUCGCCCACUGAAGCUAAGCAGGGCUGUGCCCGGUCAGUACCUGGAUGGGAGACCACAUGGGAAAGCUAGGUUGCUGCCGGAA
Molecule: non-coding RNA, 115 nt
Organism: Danio rerio (zebrafish)
Lineage: Eukaryota; Metazoa; Chordata; Actinopteri; Cypriniformes; Danionidae
Source: Rfam